GCUGGGCACAGUGGCGCAUGCCUGUAAUCCCAGCAGCUCAGGAGGCUGAGGCAGGAGAAUCAUGAGUUCAAAACCAGCCUCAGCAAAAGCAAAUCAGUGAGACCCUAUCUCUA
RNAcentral lists this small RNA (113 nucleotides) under Marmota monax (woodchuck). Lineage: Eukaryota; Metazoa; Chordata; Mammalia; Rodentia; Sciuridae. The record is from RNAcentral.